RNAcentral lists this ribosomal RNA (248 nucleotides) under uncultured Burkholderiales bacterium. RNAcentral's name for it is "partial 16S ribosomal RNA". It matches the Rfam family "Bacterial small subunit ribosomal RNA", at positions 356 to 596 of the family's 1533-position model. The record is from RNAcentral. Lineage: Bacteria; Pseudomonadati; Pseudomonadota; Betaproteobacteria; Burkholderiales.
GGGGAAUUUUGGACAAUGGGCGAAAGCCUGAUCCAGCAAUGCCGCGUGUGUGAAGAAGGCCUUCGGGUUGUAAAGCACUUUUGUCCGGAAAGAAAUGGCUCUGGUUAAUACCUGGGGUCGAUGACGGUACCGGAAGAAUAAGGACAGGCUAACUACGUGCCAGCAGCCGCGGUAAUACGUAGGGUCCAAGCGUUAAUCGGAAUUACUGGGCGUAAAGCGUGCGCAGGCGGGGGUGCAAGACCGAGGUG